RNAcentral lists this ribosomal RNA (259 nucleotides) under uncultured bacterium. RNAcentral's name for it is "partial 16S ribosomal RNA". It matches the Rfam family "Bacterial small subunit ribosomal RNA", at positions 95 to 354 of the family's 1533-position model. The record is from RNAcentral.
CCGGCGCACGGGUGAGUAACACGUAUCCAACCUGCCGUCUACUCUUGGACAGCCUUCUGAAAGGAAGAUUAAUACAAGAUGGCAUCAUGAGUCCGCAUGUCCACAUGAUUAAAGGUAUUCCGGUAGACGAUGGGGAUGCGUUCCAUUAGAUAGUAGGCGGGGUAACGGCCCACCUAGUCUUCGAUGGAUAGGGGUUCUGAGAGGAAGGUCCCCCACAUUGGAACUGAGACACGGUCCAAACUCCUACGGAAGGCAGCAG